RNAcentral lists this ribosomal RNA (300 nucleotides) under uncultured Kofleriaceae bacterium. RNAcentral describes it as "bacterial SSU rRNA". It matches the Rfam family "Bacterial small subunit ribosomal RNA", at positions 115 to 403 of the family's 1533-position model. Lineage: Bacteria; Pseudomonadati; Myxococcota; Haliangiales; Kofleriaceae. The record is from RNAcentral.
ACGUAGGUAAUCUUCCUUCGAGCGGGGGACAACGGUCCGAAAGGACCGCUAAUACCGCGUACGUUCCCGAGGAUCCUGGUCCUUGGGAGGAAAGCUAGGUCGCAAGAUCCGGCACUCGGAGAGGAGCCUGCGUCGCAUCAGCUAGUUGGUGGGGUAAUGGCCUACCAAGGCGAAGACGCGUAGCUGGUCUGAGAGGAUGAUCAGCCACACUGGGACUGAGACACGGCCCAGACUCCUACGGGAGGCAGCAGUGGGGAAUAUUGCACAAUGGGCGAAAGCCUGAUGCAGCCAUGCCGCGUG